This is a long non-coding RNA of Canis lupus familiaris (dog), 4946 nucleotides long. RefSeq lists it as uncharacterized. The record is from RefSeq and is a predicted model, not a curated record. Lineage: Eukaryota; Metazoa; Chordata; Mammalia; Carnivora; Canidae. The transcript is spliced from 4 exons.
CUCAGCAGGCUGGGAAGUCACGGGUCCGGGCAGCCGUGGCGGGCACCCCCACCCGGGCGCGGUGCCCCUCCCGACGGCUCUGGGGGAAGGCCCGAGGGGCCGGCCCCCUCCUCGGCCCCCUCGCCCCGCCCCGCUAGGACAGGCCCGGCGUGUCCACGAAGGCCACCCUGACCCCAUCGCCCGCGCACAAUCACUCGGUCCCUUCUGUGGGCCUGACCGAAAUGGGCAUCGCGGGCCAGGGGCUCCUGGGGACCCGCCUGUGGUGCGGUUCCCACCUGCUGCUGGUGGGCCGUCCUCCCGCCGCGCGCCCACCCUGGCAGACAGGCAGGGGCUGGCUCCCCUGGGUGCCCGGAGGGUAGAGCCCCAGGUCCCAGAGGAGGAGGAAAACAGGGUGGGGGUGCAGCCAGCGGAAGAUAAGGACCCAGGGGAGUGACUACACACCAGGGACACAGAAGGCAAUGCCAGGAGGUGGGCUGGGCCUGCAGGGAGACGGCAGAGUCCCCAAGGGGCAGGGGCCCCAGGGCGGCUCCAGCUGCGGGCUGCAGAGGCACACAGGCAGCGGCAGAGACAGGUCCUAGGGGACAAGGUCCGCUCCCCUCUCCUGAUCUCCUCCCAGCACCCCCCGGCUGCCUUCCACCCACCCCGCUGCCCAACCUUGCCCUCGGCCCCUCCGGAGCCACCAGGGAGGCCCCGGCCCCAGCCCCAGCCCCCACCUGCCUCCUGGCCCUGGAAGGUCAGCCGCCCCCACGAGCUUCUGGAGGAGCCGACCCUGGGGCCUGAGGGGCAGGGAGCGCCUGAGGAGGGCUGCUGUCCCGCACAGCCUGCUCCGACACGCAGCCCUCAAAGCCGCCCCAAACUUCUCAGGCCACCUGCCAAAGCGCUUAGCAGCUCGUAGCGGAGGCGGGACACACCUCCUCCCGCCCCCCCACAUCCGUGCUCCCUCGGUGGCCUCGGAGCGCAGGCACGGAGCUUCCCCCUCCCCAGGCUGAGGCCGAGGCCCAAGGUCAGGGGAUGCACAGCCACGUUCAGCGGGGGUCGUCCUGACUCGCACACGGCGGCCUUCACGGGCAGCAGAGGGAGCACGAGGUGGGCAGUGUCUCCGAACAGGGCCCUGACCCCGUCUCUGUCCCCACUACCACCCUCCAAGGCCCCACCCCGCAGGCCAUCCGUGGGGGUGAGAGUCUCAACACACGAAUCAGUGACGGAGUGACUGUGUUGUCGAGGCCACUCCGUCUGUGACGCUUUGCUACGGGAACCCCGUCAAAGCCCCAGGGGCCAGCUGGCUGCGCACCGUGGGGUCACUGGCGCUCACACCCUCGAGCCCGUGGCUGGGCCUCUUUAUUGCCGGUCACAUCAGGCGCACACAGCCGCUCCACUGCAGGGGGACGACGGUCGCGUCUGCUGCUCUGACCAGGCUGCUGCAUGGUUGCCGGACCUCGGCUGUUGGGAAAAAAUGCUUCCAGGAACUCUGGCCCAUGGACACGUGGCCCCUGGAGUGACACUGCUGGGCCACAGGACAUGCUGCGUUCCCCUCUACCACGUAACCCCGGAGAAAAAUAAACCCGCACAGAAAUAAAAAUGUUAUGUCCGCUGGCAACGUAGGAGGGUUCCCUCUGCUGCGCGUUUCUGACAACCCCGCACACGCACGGUUUCACAAUUUCAGCCUUUCUGGUAGGUUUGGUGUUGAGGAAGGCUCCAGACCCUUGCCCCAGCUUCAUCUGCCACCUGACGCUCUUCCCGUAAGGCCCUGGCCCGAGCUCCACCAUUUUUCUAUCAAGCGUCUUUUCCUUAAUGACUCAUAGUUCAUCGUAUGCUCUGGAGGGGACAGUUGUGUCCGCUGCAGUCCACACUCCCCAGCCGCGCGCCCACACCCCAGAACUGGGACCACAGGGACAGGGAACCAGGGCUCCUGGGGAAAUGCAGGCUCGGCCUCCUGGGAGCCCCUGGUCGCAGGACUCUUGCCAACGGGUCCACGCAGAGCCCUGUUUCGUGCGGCUUCCGUUUACAGGUCCCUCGUCCAAGACACUGCAGACCCAUGAGGAACCGUGGCGCCGGCGCCACUGACCUUGGCCGGGUCGGAACCCGCGCAGCUCGCGGUCACAGCCGCGGGUGCUGGGGGCCUGGGAUCUCCAGCACCACGCAGGGGGCACGUCGGGCCGGGGCCACCGGCCAGAAGCACAAAGUGAGGGGAAAGCGGCCCAGAGAGACACCACGAAGGACGCUGCUUUCCUGUGUGAGCUGCGCGCCGCCUUGCUCUGCCUCCGCGUGGGACGCCAGGCCACUCUCAUUUCUCGGUGCUCGGGAGAAAAGAGGAGAACUGCGAGUCUCUAACGCCGUGUGUGCUGCUCCACCGACAGCUCCCUCCCCACUGCUCGCAGCCACCGCCACCACCACCGGGUCUGCAGGGGCCUUCUGCAGGUGUCGCCCACAGGCUGGCAAGCGUGCAGUGCCUGGUCCCAGGCGCCCCCACGGAUCGGAUGAGCCUUCUUCCGUCGUGUCCUUGUCACGUUGGCCGCGAGGGCUGUACGUUAUCUCGGUGUCAGCAUUUCCUGGUAAAGCAGCAAAUGUUUAAUCCUGUUGCGAAAGUCCACGUGAUCCAGUCCUUCGGGUUAACUGCCAGGGCCGUUCCUGGAAGCUGUUUCCUGUGCCAGGGUGACUGGUGUUGACGCCGCGACACAAGGAAGUGACUGGGAACACCACAAAUGCGCUCGCCGCUCGGCUAAAUCGCACCUGAGGUUUCCAGCCCCUGGCGUCCCGGUGGCGGAUCCACAAUCCCAGAAGGCUCGCCACCUCCCCAGAGGCCCCGGUGGUUGGGAAGCACGGGGAGCUGCGGUGGCGGGGACCCCUGCGGUCCUCCUGUCGUCCUUUAGCAAACUGUACGGAGCCAUCUGCCCUGACGGCACCACCAAGGCCCUGCGGGAACCCGCCAGCCUGCGAGCUGCUGCGUCCCUGUCCACCUCCGCCAUCCUGACCCCAGCUGGCAGGUGCUCCGGAUGGGCGGGCCGCGCUCCCUCACACGCCUGCUGCCUUCUGUCCUCCAGAGUGUGAGCCCGCCUUCCCGAGCUCGUGGCCCCUUCCUCCAUCAUUGAACCGCAGCAUCUUUACCCUAAAAUGUGUACCCAGGAUUUUUCUUAAAGAUCGUCUUUAUUUAUUUGAGAGAGAGAGAAAGAGAGCGAGCAAGCGGGGGAGGGGGGCAGAGUUAGAGGGAGAAGCAGACGCCCCACAGAGCAGGGAACCGGAUGUGGGUCUGGAUCCCAGGACCCGGAGCCGAUGCUUGCCCACUUGCUCCACUGGGCCCCCCGCCCAGGACAUGUUUUAAUCAGAUGGGGUUAGGUGACAACAACCAAGCUCUGCCCUUGGAAGGGUGAUUUAUUACUCACGUUCCCCAAGAGAAGGGGGUGCACCACACUCGGUGGGCCCCAGGGGAAGCAGAAACCAGAAGCCGGAGCAAAGGGAACCUGGCCCAGAGCCUUUUCUGGGGUGACGAUUGGGUGGUCUGAAGAAUUUCGCAGGCCCAGGCUGCAGCGCAGUCCCCAGGUGUCCCGUGCCUGGCCUUGGGGUGCUGUGGGGGAAGAGGGUUGGCUUGGCGUGUGAGACACGACGGGCGGGUCGGGGGCCUGGGCUCCUCUCCAGGAGCCGCGUGGUGCCGGAGGGGCCCCGGGACCACGACCCCAGAUGCCGGAGCAUUGAGAAUGAAGAAAAUAGGUAGAGUCAGGGGUGCGGGGUGGGGGGGUUACGUGCCAGGAGGUUCAAGCCAGACUGUGUUUCAGAGGGAAAAUGUAAGAUUCGGCCUAGGAGGAGGACGGGGAAAGGUGCCGGCCCAGGGGAGGCGCCCGCCGGCCCUUCCCUCCCAGCUCCCUCCCGCCAGCCAGAGGCUUGAGUGAAAAGCCUGAAACCAGAAGGAAAGAAAAACAGAAGAAGGGAGAAAAUGCACGCCUGACUUUGCCUGGAAAAAUUAAGAGCGACUAGCGGUGGAUUGGCACAACCUGGUGCCGUGCUCGCACCCAUCAGGGCCCCACACCCAGUCCCCCACGCCAUUUACGACCUACCCAGCCGCGGGAGAAGGGUUUGCUCUUGCCCACGGGCUGAGACUGCGGCUCUGGGCGGACCCGAAAGCCGCGUGCGCCUCCCCCCCGCCCGUGGGUGCUACACGGCCCCCCGAGCCCUCCGAGGGGACUCCUGGACAGGGUCCCAUUGGCUCCCACUGGCGACGCACUCGUCCCCAGGCCCCGGCUGCCGGGGGCCCCUGGGAGCUGGCAGGCCGUGUGAAUGGCACCCUGGGCGCAGGACGGCCCUGCAUGGACGGACCCAGACCCGGCGCAGCGCGUGCCCCAGCGACAGCGCCCGUCUCCACACUCGUACACGUCGGGCUGUUGCCGAGACACUGGCCCUUGAGGAAGAACGCUGGGAAUCUCUUGCCUCAGAGAUGCCAACACUAUCCCCGAAGAGCACGCGUGUCUCCAGCUUCUGUGUGAUCAUCUUGUGCCCUAAUCCUCUGCUGUAUUCAAGCCCCAGGAGCCCCGACACUAUGGUUUUGUAGAGAGAGGCAGAGACCCAGGCGGAGGGAGAAGCAGGCCCCUGCAGGGAGCCCGACGCGGGACUCGAUCCCGGGACCCCAGGAUCACACCCUGGGCUUCGGGCGGCGCUAAACCGCUGAGCCACCGGGGCUGCCCCUGACCGUGUCUUUCGAGUAUAGUCCUGCUGGAUUUGGCGUUCCAGGUCUCGGUGUCCUCGCCGCGGGUUCGGCGCUUCCCUCCCAGGCCCGGGGGCAGCGGGCCUGGGCCUGUGCCUGUGCUGGGGGCCCCGGGGCUCCGGGCUCUGCUCCGCCGCGCCUGCGGGCCUCCCGCGCCUCUGCACAACCGCCGGCCUGGGCUCUCCGGACACGGCUUCUGACACCGGCCCGGGGGCGGGCCUCGCGGGCUGCGGUCUCGGUGGUCGCUGAGCAC